CAGUUUGCUCAGUGGCAGUAUGGUAGCCAAUGAGGUUUAACCGAGUUGCGAUUGUUGCUCAUUGAAAACUCUAAGACUCAGUUUCUCCAUCUACAAAAUGAGGGAAGUGUAUUUCCCCUCCCCACCUCCCACCCCCGAUUUCAUAGGGA
This 149-nucleotide small nuclear RNA is filed under the name Monodelphis domestica (gray short-tailed opossum). Its description in RNAcentral is "U4 spliceosomal RNA". It matches the Rfam family "U4 spliceosomal RNA". Rfam says of the family: U4 small nuclear RNA (U4 snRNA) is a component of the major U2-dependent spliceosome. The structure of U4 snRNA from yeast and human has been reported. The record is from Rfam by way of RNAcentral. Lineage: Eukaryota; Metazoa; Chordata; Mammalia; Didelphimorphia; Didelphidae.